CGGGGGUACACGAGCGGCGAACGGGUGAGUAACGCGUGGGUAAUCUACCUAGAAGUGGGGGAUAGCUUCGGGAAACCGGAGGUAAUACCGCAUGUGCCCCGACCAACGCGAGUUGGACGGGUGAAAGAUGGGGAUCUUCGGACCUGUCGCUUCUGGAUGAGCCCGCGUCCGAUUAGCUAGUUGGUGAGGUAAUGGCUCACCAAGGCUUCGAUCGGUAGCCGGCCUGAGAGGGUGAUCGGCCACAUUGGGACUGAGACACGGCCCAGACUCCUACGGGAGGCAGCAGUGGGGAAUUUUGGGCGAUGGGGGAAACCCUGACCCAGCGACGCCGCGUGGAGGAUGAAGGUCUUCGGAUUGUAAACUCCUGUCAGGUGGGAAGAAGAUCGUCGGGUUAAUAGCCCGCGCGAUUUGACGGUACCACCAAAGGAAGCCCCGGCUAACUCCGUGCCAGCAGCCGCGGUAAUACGGAGGGGGCAAGCGUUGUUCGGAUUUACUGGGCGUAAAGCGCACGUAGGCGGCGAAGUAAGUCAAAGGUGAAAGCCCUCGGCUCAACCGAGGAACUG
Molecule: ribosomal RNA, 563 nt
Filed under: uncultured bacterium
Lineage: Bacteria
Description: bacterial SSU rRNA
Rfam family: Bacterial small subunit ribosomal RNA
Source: RNAcentral